RNAcentral lists this ribosomal RNA (519 nucleotides) under Bacillus cereus. RNAcentral's name for it is "bacterial SSU rRNA". It matches the Rfam family "Bacterial small subunit ribosomal RNA", at positions 39 to 534 of the family's 1533-position model. The record is from RNAcentral. Lineage: Bacteria; Bacillati; Bacillota; Bacilli; Caryophanales; Bacillaceae.
CGCCACAAGAGGCCCAAAACAUGCCAGUCGAGCGAAUGGAUUAAGAGCUUGCUCUUAUGAAGUUAGCGGCGGACGGGUGAGAAAAAAAAGGGUAACCUGCCCAUAAGAUGGGAUAACUCCGGGAAACCGGGGCUAAUACCGGAUAACAUUUUGAACCGCAUGGUUCGAAAUUGAAAGGCGGCUUCGGCUGUCACUUAUGGAUGGACCCGCGUCGCAUUAGCUAGUUGGUGAGGUAACGGCUCACCAAGGCAACGAUGCGUAGCCGACCUGACAGGGUGAUCGGCCACACUGGGACUGAGACACGGCCCAGACUCCUACGGGAGGCAGCAGUAGGGAAUCUUCCGCAAUGGACGAAAGUCUGACGGAGCAACGCCGCGUGAGUGAUGAAGGCUUUCGGGUCGUAAAACUCUGUUGUUAGGGAAGAACAAGUGCUAGUUGAAUAAGCUGGCACCUUGACGGUACCUAACCAGAAAGCCACGGCUAACUACGUGCCAGCAACCCGCGGUAAUACGUAGGUGA